AUCCAUCUACUUGCUUUCUUUUCCCCUCAAACUGAUGCAGCAAGUUUAACAACAAAAUCGAGGGAUUUUGAUGUCAAAUACUUGCUGGCCAGAUUAAAGUUGCCGCUUGAUUGUUGAUAUGGCUUAGUUGUUUUAAUAAGGUGAUGCCUCUACACGCAUACUUGUUUGAGCCCAAACUUGGACCUCUAUUUUAUGAUUUUUCAUUACAUAUUAGAAUAGAAUUGCAUUAUAUUAGUAUCAGGACAAUUAUAUUAGAAAACUCGGAAUUUUCAUGGACAAGCAUUAUCAUGCACAUCUAGGCCAUUUAGAGUGCAUUAUUAUUAAUUAUCAUAUUUGCAUGUUUCCUCUCAUAAAUCAAAUGUUAUAAAUUGGAAAAUCUAGGAAAAUCAUAUCUUGCAUAUUUUUAAUUUUAGAUUGAAUCUUUGUUUAAAAGAAUUAAAAUAAAAAUUUGAAGUGAAACUCCGCAAGUCACGAAGAGUAUUAUCGCCUCAUUCCUGCAAUUUUUUUUAUUAGUUAUUUAUUUUUGCUCUUUUUUCUUAAACUUAAAUUUGAAAACAUAGAUAAGAAUCAGCAUAGAAAAGUUAAGCAGAUAUAAUCAGGUAUGUUCAAAAUUUAUCUUUAUUUUAUUAUUAUUAUUAUUAUUAUUAUUAUUAUUAUUAUUAUUAUUAUUAUUAUUAUUAUUAUCAUUAUUAUUAUUAUUAUUAUUAUUAUAUGUUGAUAGAUAAGAAUCAGCAUAGAAAAGUUAAUUUUUCUACAAAACACUACGAAUGUAAUCAAGUUAGUAAGUAGUCAUAGAUUAAAGUUGAAUUUCUUGUAGAAAGUUACUAAUCUUACGAAGAAUCAUUAGUCACAUAUGUACUUAUAUGUUACAUAAUUCCUUCUGAAAUCCUAGUGGAGCAAGGAAGGGUUAAGAAAGAAAUGGAAUGACAUAUAAUUAAAUUGAUACCCAUAGAAAUGUUAGACAUGCAACUAACGUGGAAGGGAAGUAAUUAGAUCCAAUAGCUAAUCAAGGUCAAGUAUCAUGCCAAAUGUUUUGCAUAAUCUUUAGUCACAUGUUGAACAAGAGAAGCUCAUGAUAAUACUCAUAAAUUUGGACUUAAUUUCAAAUGGUCGUCAUUAUAUCUACUUUUAAAAGCUUAGUUUUGACGAUAGUGAGACUAAAUUUUAUAUGAUAUUAGAGUAGGAGAUCCUGACUUCAAUUUUUUUCAAUUCCUUAUUUGCUUCUCCAUUAUAUAUUUGCAUGCUUUAGUUUAUGAUUAAGUCCAGCUUAUAUGAAAGGGCAAGUGUGGAAAGCUUUUGUUUUCCGGUCGCCUUCAGGAAAGGGAAAAGUAAGGAAAAGGGGAAAAGGGGGAAGAAAACACACCAAAUCGAUGGACAAUGAUAUGUUUCACCAUCUCUAGCGGAUUUCAAGCUCUUCGCUUGCAUAAAUGUCAACAAAAUACCUGAAAGUUUGUCUGGAUAGAGUUUUACAUUUUAUUUAAUCUAGUCUUGUCUCCGACACAUUUUUACAUAUUUUUGACUUGAAACAUAUGAAUCUUUUAUAAUACGUAAGUAUUGAUAAGUAAUUUACAUAAAAUUUAGCUGAUUCGAGCCAUCGUGAUUACCUUUUUUCGUUCUAUUUUGUAACGUCUCAUUGAUGAAACCACACACAUCAACGAUAGAAAGUUAAGAAGAAUGGAACUUAAUGGAUGGGCCACGUCAUCACAAAACUCAAUUCCCUCCCACUUCCCAUUCCAUUAAUUGUCCAUAUAAAUUUACAAUAAAGUUGGAAAAAAAUUAAUCAUCUAAUUUAAUCUAAUAUAAUUUUUCUACAAAAAUAUUAUCACCAUCAACUUGCCUUACUUAUUAAAUUGGAUGUACUCUUUUGCACAUCCGGGGGAUUUUGUAAAAGCUGAAGUUAGGAGUUGGGACCACAAUUCAGCCGGGACGUGAGUGACAUAUACUAACAAUAAAAAGUUGAACAAGUAAAAUCAUACGGAUGCAUCUUCACAAAAGAACCUUAAAGCGCCUCUCUUUUUUCUUUUUCUUUCUUCAAAUUUCAAACACAAAGUGCCCUAGCCAAAUUAUAUAAAAAAAUUGCACCAUUAAGAAGGUUAGUUAGGCAUCCACAUCAGAUGAGGGCAUUUUUUCUGACAUUGUUCAAGGAGAAUGAUUCUGCCUGCUCCUCAAUUAGAACCUCUAAGGGGUCGAAAUAGAUUGGAUUUGAGUAGGCUGAGAAGAGACAUACAUCAUUGUGUGAUGAACAUUUUCUUUCUGACUCCAAUAUAAACUGUUGAACAUACCAAGGCUUGAAAAUUUUCCACUAAAUAACCGAGACUUUGAUUUUUCGAUUCAACACCUAAACACUAGUUGAUGUGGGGUAAGGUUUGGGGUAAUGACCUCAUGAUCUUCAAAGGUGACAAGGCUUUUUAUCUUAAAAUGUUAAAUCUCUUAUUUUUAAAUAUUUUUUUCGAAAAUCCUAUUAGAGCUUUGCUUGGAAUGGGGCCAUCUACUUUAUUUAGAUCAAAAGAACUCUAUGCUUUGUGAUGGUCCUUCCCAUUCUACUAAUCAAUUGAUUAAUUUUACAAUGUUUGCCGUUAGACUUCAUAUAUGACAUUUUAUUAAAGGUGAGUAACUAGACCGGUUCAAUAUGGGAAAUGAAUGCAACACGACUAAUUUUGAAGCUGUUCACAUGGGGGCCAGUAUAGUUCCAAAUAAAAAUUCUUUGAAUCGGCCUUCAUCGGUUCACUUCUUGGUUUCAUAAUAUGAACUGGUUGUAACACCCAUGAGUCGGCCUUGCAAAGGUAGUUCUCGGGGAAAACUGGUUUUGAGCCGGGUCAAAACCAAUCCUAAAUCUUGUCUAUUUAAGCGCUGCUUUCUUUUUUAAGUUCUCACUCUCAGAUUUGGCCCCUCUCUGUGUCUCUCUAGUCAUUCGACUUUCUCCAGUGGCACUCUCAAUUUUUCUCUUUUUUCUGUCCCGUGGGCGCCGUUGCAUCUCUUCUCUGUCUUGGUCUUGCCAACGCCAUCUCAUCUCCGUCUCUCGCCAUCUUGUGGGUUUUGGGCUUGCUUUUGUAGGUCGACUGUCAGUCAGCCUACUAUUAGCGAGGUGGGUUCUUUCUUCCAGCAACUUAGGGCUUGUUUGGUAAAAAAAUGUUUAUGUUCUCCGGAACAACUAUUUAUGUUCUUUUGUUCUAGGGAAUGGAAAAAGAAUAGAAACGCGUUUGGUAAAAUUUUUGUUCCCAGAAAUAGAUUUGGAACAAAAACAAGAAGUAGAAAAAAAUAGCUUCUUGUUCUCGAGAAUAAUUUUUUUUUCUCUUCUUUUUUCUUCUCUUUUCUCUUAUUCUCUUUCCUUUCCUUCUUCUUCCUUUUGGCUAGUUGCCGACCUUGGCCAUGGCCGGCAACCAGCCGAUGAGGGCCGGCAACCUCGCUGGAGCGUCGCUAGCCCCCGACGAUGCUGAGCCAUGGCGAUGCUCAGCCUCGCAAGAUUUGGGCGAGCUUGAGCUCGCCCAACCAAGGCAAGGCUGAGCCUCAUGAUGGCCAAGCAAGCUUGCCGGCCCUCGCCCUGGCUUGGCGAGGCUCCGGCGAGCUUGCCGAACCUCGCCUAGCCGGUCGCCGGCCACCAAUGACCGGCCACAAAGGAGGAAGAAUGAGAGAAAAGGAAAAAAAAGGAAAAAAAGGAAAAAUAUAAUAAAAAUAUUUAAAAAAUUAAAAGAAAUAACAAAAUUAUACAAUUCCACCAAACGCAUUUCUUUCCCGGGAAUAGAAAUUUGUGUAAUUACCAAGCGUGUUCUUAUACUCAGAAAUUGUUCAUGGGAACAGAAAAAAAAAAAAAAAACCAUUUCUGAUCAAAAAUUAUUCUCGGAAUCAAAAUCGUUAUCAAACGCGCCAUAAUUAGAGCAAGAAAUCUCGAGUUACCAAAAUAAGUAUAAAUAGCUUAGAAAUAAUCAUUUAAUUGUUAAAACUUGUCAAUACCUAACUUCUGCCCAAAAGUGGUUUUCAUGUAUUUUUGGAAAACUGGAACAGAUUUUCCUCCCAAAGAAGAAGUUUAUUGGAAUUAAAGCAUUUUAUAAGCAUAUACCAGAAUUUCGACAAAUAGGAUUAGGUUCUUUCGAAUUUAUUCCCCAAAUAAAAUAUAAAAAAAAAAGAAAAAGAAAAGAAAAGCAAAGAUAAAAUGGGAACCUCCGAGAGAAAAACACACACGGCAGAAUUCAUCUUGGUUCUCCUGCUCCUUUCUUUAAAACCACACCGCCUCACUUUUUCUUCAUCCACCACCACCACCACCACCGCCAUCAUUAAACUCACGCCCACAGACUUCACUCUCAUUCAAUUCAUUUCUUGCAUGCAUAUCGGUUGUCGCCAAUCACCACCAUCUCUAGGCGUCGCUCAAUCAAAACCAUCGUUCGUCGUUGCAAGCAGCGACCACGCAUUGCCGUAGCUGAAUACGCACGCGUACACAGUGAACUGCCAAACCUAGCGCUCGUGCUUGCUGGAUUGCUGUUGUGGAUCUUAUCCUGUUCGCCUGGUCGGCUCCAGGAAGUCUACUUGGAAUAGGUAAAAGACAUCUUUCUACUUGCUCUCUUUUUCCCUUGAACUGAUGCAGCAAGUUUAAUAACAAAAUUGGGAAAAGUUGAUGUCAUAUACUUGCUGGCCAGAUUAUUGUUGCAGCUUGACUGCAUAAUUCAUGGUGAUUUGUUGAUCUUAAUGUGGCUUAGUUGUUUUAAUGAGGUGAUACAUCUGCACGCAUAAUUGUUUAAGCCAAAAUUUGGACCUCUAUUUUAUGAUUUUUCAUUACAUAUUAGGAUAGAAUUCAUUAUAUCCGUAUCAGGACAAUUAUAUUAGAAAACUUAGAAUUUUCAUGGACAAGCAUUAUCAUGCACAUCUAGG
Molecule: long non-coding RNA, 4863 nt
Filed under: Eucalyptus grandis
Lineage: Eukaryota; Viridiplantae; Streptophyta; Magnoliopsida; Myrtales; Myrtaceae
Description: long non-coding RNA (EGRA_LNC000585)
Source: RNAcentral